This 497-nucleotide ribosomal RNA is filed under the name uncultured bacterium. RNAcentral's name for it is "partial 16S ribosomal RNA". It matches the Rfam family "Bacterial small subunit ribosomal RNA", at positions 28 to 507 of the family's 1533-position model. The record is from RNAcentral.
GAUGAACGCUGGCGGCGUGCCUAAUACAUGCAAGUCGAGCGAACAGACGAGGAGCUUGCUCCUCUGACGUUAGCGGCGGACGGGUGAGUAAAACGUGGAUAACCUACCUAUAAGACUGGGAUAACUUCGGGAAACCGGAGCUAAUACCGGAUAAUAUAUUGAACCGCAUGGUUCAAUAGUGAAAGACGGUUUUGCUGUCACUUAUAGAUGGAUCCGCGCCGCAUUAGCUAGUUGGUAGGGUAACGGCUUACCAAGGCGACGAUGCGUAGCCGACCUGAGGGGAGGAUCAGGCACAAUGGGAAUGAGACCCCGUCCCGGACACCAAGGGAGGGCGGAGUGGGGAAUCUUGGCGAAUGGGCGAAAGGCUGAUCGAGCCAUGGCGGGUGUGGGAAGAAAGUUUUUGGAUUCUAAAACACUUUAAGUUGGGAGAAAGCAAAGUAAGAUAAUACCAUGCUGUUUUGACGUUGCCAAAAUAAGAAGCACAGGCCAACUUCGUG